AUACACUAAUCACAUAACUCUCAUACACUAAUCACAUAACUACGCAUACACUAAUAACAUAACUAUUCAAACACUAAUCACAUAUUUAUCAAACAAUAAUCAAUAACUAACAAACACUAAUCAUAAAACUAUACACGCACUAAUCACAUAACUCUCAUACACUAAUCACAUAACUACGCAUACACUAAUAACAUAACUAUUCAAACACUAAUCACAUAUUUAUCAAACAAUAAUCAAUAACUAACAAACACUAAUCA
RNAcentral lists this unclassified non-coding RNA (257 nucleotides) under Hevea brasiliensis (rubber tree). Lineage: Eukaryota; Viridiplantae; Streptophyta; Magnoliopsida; Malpighiales; Euphorbiaceae. The record is from RNAcentral.